UGCUCCGUAUAGGUGCCGUUACAAAGCGACGAGAACGCGCGACUUUGUCACUUUCGAAUCCGGCGACAUUUUCCGAAUCGGUGUAACUUGGCCAGUUUUACCGUCGUCACGAUCCCCGCAUAUAUUAGGGGUUAGGUGGUGUCUAAUAGACAGAUAGGGAGACUAAUUGCUGGCAAUACCGAAAAUUGAUGAUUCCCUUGUUAUUCAUGGUGUCGGAUUUAGGCGCCCGAGUACUGUUAUACGAAUAAUCUAACCCAAAAGCCGAGCAAAACAUUUGUGCCCGUGUACGAUGUGUUGACGACGUGCAACGACUCAGAUAGAAAUUAGACGCGAAACGAGAUUUAAAUGGAUUAUUCAGUUGAUAAUACAUG
Cinara cedri is the source of this 371-nucleotide non-coding RNA. NCBI's taxonomy places the organism in Eukaryota, Metazoa, Arthropoda, Insecta, Hemiptera, Aphididae. The record is from the annotation of a GenBank genome assembly.